Thalassophryne amazonica is the source of this 120-nucleotide long non-coding RNA. RefSeq lists it as uncharacterized. NCBI's taxonomy places the organism in Eukaryota, Metazoa, Chordata, Actinopteri, Batrachoidiformes, Batrachoididae. The transcript has 3 exons. The record is from RefSeq and is a predicted model, not a curated record.
CGUGGAUACAAGCAGCAGAAAUGAGGUUCCUGUGUCGGGUAUCUGGUCUUACACUCAGGGACAGGGUGUGACAAACUCGAAUAUCUGGGACAGACUCUAAUAGAGACGCUUCUCCUUCUU